Molecule: ribosomal RNA, 253 nt
Filed under: uncultured bacterium
Lineage: Bacteria
Description: partial 16S ribosomal RNA
Rfam family: Bacterial small subunit ribosomal RNA
Source: RNAcentral
UACGAAGGUGGCAAGCGUUACUCGGAAUUACUAGGCGUAAAGGGCAGGUAGGUGGUCUGAUUAGUCUGUUGUGGAAGCUCCCGGCUUAACUGGGAGAGGUCAACAGAUACUAUCAGGCUUGAGUAUAGGAGAGGUUACUGGAAUUCCCGGUGUAGCGGUGAAAUGCGCAGAUAUCGGGAGGAACACCAAUGGCGAAAGCAGGUAACUGGACUAUUACUGACACUCAUCUGCGAAAGCUAGGGGAGCAAACAGG